RNAcentral lists this ribosomal RNA (253 nucleotides) under uncultured bacterium. Its description in RNAcentral is "partial 16S ribosomal RNA". It matches the Rfam family "Bacterial small subunit ribosomal RNA", at positions 524 to 776 of the family's 1533-position model. The record is from RNAcentral.
UACGGAGGGUGCGAGCGUUGUCCGGAAUUAUUGGGCGUAAAGAGCUCGUAGGCGGUUUGUCACGUCUGCUGUGAAAUCCCGAGGCUCAACCUCGGGCCUGCAGUGGGUACGGGCAGGCUGGAGUGCGGUAGGGGAGACUGGAAUUCCUGGUGUAGCGGUGAAAUGCGCAGAUAUCAGGAGGAACACCGGUGGCGAAGGCGGGUCUCUGGGCCGAUACUGACGCUGAGGAGCGAAAGCAUGGGUAGCGAACAGG